This 484-nucleotide ribosomal RNA is filed under the name Papuadytes sp. MB265. Its description in RNAcentral is "partial 16S ribosomal RNA". The stretch from base 361 to 484 matches the Rfam family "Bacterial large subunit ribosomal RNA", at positions 2473 to 2597 of the family's 2925-position model. Lineage: Eukaryota; Metazoa; Arthropoda; Insecta; Coleoptera; Dytiscidae. The record is from RNAcentral.
ACCUGCCCACUGAAAAAUUUUAAAUGGCCGCAGUAAUUUGACUGUGCAAAGGUAGCAUAAUCAUUAGUUUUUUAAUUAAAAGCUUGUAUGAAGGGUUGGACGAGAUAAAAUCUGUCUUUAUUUAAAUAAUAUUAGAAUUUAAUUUUUAAGUUAAAAAGCUUAAAUUUAUAUAAAAGACGAGAAGACCCUAUAGAUCUUUAUAUUAUUAAAGAUAAUUUUAAUUAAGAUUAUUUAAUUUUUUAUUUUUUAUAAUAUUUUAUUGGGGUAAUAAAAAAAUUUAAUUAAUUUUUUUUUAUAUAUUACAUUAAUUAAUGAAUUUAUGAUCCAUAAUUUAUGAUUAUAAGAUUAAGUUACCUUAGGGAUAACAGCGUAAUUUUUUUAGAGAGUUCAUAUCGAUAAAAAAGUUUGCGACCUCGAUGUUGGAUUAAAAAUUAUUUUAGGCGCAGAAGUUUAAAAAUUUGGUCUGUUCGACCAUUAAAUUUUU